AUGCACGCUGGCGGCGUGCCUCAUACAUGCAAGUCGAGCGCACGGACGAGAAGCUUGCUUUUCUGAUGUUAGCGGCGGACGGGUGAGUAACACGUGGAUAACCUACCUAUAAGACUGGGAUAACUUCGGGAAACCGGAGCUAAUACCGGAUAAUAUUUUGAACCGCAUGGUUCAAAAGUGAAAGACGGUCUUGCUGUCACUUAUAGAUGGAUCCGCGCUGCAUUAGCUAGUUGGUAAGGUAACGGCUUACCAAGGCAACGAUGCAUAGCCGACCUGAGAGGGUGAUCGGCCACACUGGAACUGAGACACGGUCCAGACUCCUACGGGAGGCAGCAGUAGGGAAUCUUCCGCAAUGGGCGAAAGCCUGACGGAGCAACGCCGCGUGAGUGAUGAAGGUCUUCGGAUCGUAAAACUCUGUUAUUAGGGAAGAACAUAUGUGUAAGUAACUGUGCACAUCUUGACGGUACCUAAUCAGAAAGCCACGGCUAACUACGUG
RNAcentral lists this ribosomal RNA (496 nucleotides) under uncultured bacterium. RNAcentral's name for it is "partial 16S ribosomal RNA". It matches the Rfam family "Bacterial small subunit ribosomal RNA", at positions 29 to 507 of the family's 1533-position model. The record is from RNAcentral.